Molecule: long non-coding RNA, 6593 nt
Filed under: Sus scrofa (pig)
Lineage: Eukaryota; Metazoa; Chordata; Mammalia; Artiodactyla; Suidae
Description: lncRNA (ENSSSCG00030023630.1)
Source: RNAcentral
GAGCUACAUCUGCAGGUUUACACCACAGCCACAGCAAUGCCAGAUCCAAGUUGUGUCUAUGACUUACACCACAGUUCACAGCAACGCUGGGUCUUUAACCCACUGAGCAAGGGCUAGAUACUAGUCAGGUUCAUUUCUACUGAGCCACAACAGGAAUUCCAGGUAAUUUUUUAAAGAUUGUUUUUUCAAGCAGUUUUAGGUUCACAAGAAAACUGAGGGAAGAUAAUAAAGAUAUCCCUAACACAGUGCUCUGCCCCUAACCAUGUAUAUUCUUCCCUGGUUACCAACACCCUCAUCAGAGUGGUACAUUUGUUACAACUGAGUCUAUAUUGACACAUCAUAAUCACCCCAAGUCCACAGUUAACAUUACAGUUCACUUUUGCUGUUAUAUAUUCUAUUGAUAUAGGCUAAUGUAUCAUAGCAUGUAUUCAUCAUGAAGUAUCAGAGAGUCUUUUUGCUGCCCUACAAGUCCUCUGUGCUCUCACUUACCUGUCCCAUUCCCAACCCCUGGAAAUCAGUGAUCUUCUCACUAUCUCCAUAGUCUUGCCUUUUCCAGAAUGUCAUAUAGGUAGAAUCAUCCAGUACGUAGCUUACCCCGUGUAGUCAUUGAAAGCUCAUGGGAGAGAGUUGAUGGGAUACAAAGACUUGCUCUAUAUCUGGAGUCCUCAGGAUCCCAAUCCAUUAUCCACCCCAAAUGCAACUUUUAAAAGUUCAUUAAAAGUUUGUCUGGACUUUCCUCACCCCUGUGUUAGAUUCACUCUACCUCCCACUCCUCCACAAGUAUCAAGGCAUUUGUUAUACUCUCUACCCUUCUAAGAAGAACUUGUGUUUCCUGGAAUUUGAGUCAUUUAGGUUUCUUUGAAUUCCUCAAGUCUCUGAUGGGUCAAAAACAAAUCUCUGUUUUUGUAGAUGAUCUAACUUAUUCUCAUUGUUAGGAUGAGAGCAACAGUCUCUUGGGACUUCCUCCAUUCUAAACUGAAAGAAGAUUCUCUAAGGAGCUUAUAGUUUUAAAUGAAUAUAAUUCGGCCAUUUGUUACAAGAAUAAAGUAAGUGGUAGGAACAAAAUACAAAGGAUACUUGUAUUAAUUUAUUUUAAAUUAGUAAGAAAUACAGAACCUUAAACCACAGACUCAUGAGACUUGAAGCUAACUGCUUUAAUGAAUUAUUUGAUAAAUUAUUUGUAUAAUUUGCAAAAUAAUAAAUGAAGUUUAAUAAAUUACUUGCAUAAGUGCAACAUUUAGUCUUUGUAGGUGAAUUUGAAUCAGACUCAAGUAAAAUUAGAGUUGGUGAGACCUUACAGAUCAUGUAAUCACACAGAGACAGGAGAACCCUCGGUGUCCAUGAAAGUCUAUUUGGAGCCGACACGGGGUAUGCGUAGAAGUUCAGUCUUCUCUGGGUCCCUUUCCCCAAAUAUAAUUUUUCUUUUAAUAAUUUUCUGUAUAGAAUUCUGAGUUAUAUAACAGAGGUCUGAGCUUUUAAAAACUAUAAAACUAUGAAAAUUAUAACCAAAUUAUAACCAGUCAAUCUCCCCUACACACACUUCAAAAAACACAUAACACAUAUAAAUAUACACCCAUUUUCUUGUGAAGGAAACUGAUGUCCAGAGAUGUACUGUGACUCCUCUAAGACCAUACAGCUUCAGCUAAGGGCAGAAAUCACAGCAGAACCCUUCCAAAUACAGUCCAUUUUCUUCUCCACAUGUCCCUUCUCCUUGCUAAUUAGCCUGCCUGUACUAGACCAUUACAAGUCUCCUCCGUCCCGAUCGAUGCAGUGUAGAAGUGUGGAUGAGCAGACUUAGCUAAAUUGAUGAAUGAUUCCUAAGGCUUUGGAGACUGUUGUGUGACAUCGGUUGGACCCAGGUGAAAUGGUAAUCACCAGUGUAUAAAUGAUUUGGACACUGUAAUUUCCCCCUGUGAUUUAGUUUGCUUUCUUCUGUUGAUUUAUUUAGAAUGUGCUCUGCUACCUCUUCCAACCUUGCUACACAUUGAGCACCAAUAAACGUCAAACAGAUUAGACAGGCCCAUUACUCAAUGGGCACAUUUCUAAAAAUGGUACAAAGGUGAAAUCCCAGCAGUUUGAGAUGAUUGGAGUAUUUAUAGGAUGUUAGGAAAACAUCUGCUUCAAAGAUUCAGAGGUUCGAGAGUUGAUGUAAUGUUUUAUUAGGAGACUACACCACCACUAGUCACUGUACAGAAAAUAUUAAGCCAUUAUAGAGUGAAUGAGUUUUGAGUACCUAUUAUAUAGAAUGGGCUGUACAGAGAUUGGCCUUCUAAUAGCCACUUAGAGUGAAUACAUUUUGCUUUUAUCAAAAGGGAAGAGAAUGGGCUCAUUUUUAUAGCUCUGCUCAAAGAUAAAUGUGGGUAAAAAGAGGUACUUUUUUUUUUCUACACUGACCACUUAGGUUUGAGUAUAUAGCAUCCUUGCUCUGGUAUAAUGUCAUGAGUCUUAAGCAAACAAAAGGUGGCAACAAUUCACUAGAACUAAUCUCGAAUUUUUAUUUAUCUUUAUCAUUACUAUAGUGGCCAUUAAUAGAUCACCAAUUAUAGAGCCAAAUAUUGUGUAUAUCUCAUUCACCUUUAUAGGAAUCCUAAAAUAAAGGUAUGAUUAUUCUGCUUUUACGUGUGAGAAAACUGGGACUUAACAGAGGUUAAGUAAUUUCCUUAUGAUCACAUACUUAGUAAGUGGUAAAGCUGGAUUCUAACUCAAUCAGGUGAAUUCCAAAGUCUUUGCUUUUGCUGUUACUGUCAUCACUUGUGCAGAAAACAAUCAGCUUAAGGUCAAAAUAGCAACCACCAGGAUAGGUUGUUCCAGUUAUUUUAUAAUCACAAGAAGUUUACAGUCUCCUUCAAGGAACUGUCCAGAAUAAUGUUGGUGGUGACACACAAUUGCUAAUAGACUAGUUCUAGAAUCACACCUCUGCAAUCUCUCUUUCAUCAAGAUUUAAUUACAUCUCUGGUAUUUCUUUGUGAUGCUGUUCCCUUUCCCUAACUAAUGGGGUAGCUGGUGGAGAGCCUGCAGACAAUGUAGCAAUUUGCCUAAAGAGGGGGAAAGAUAGAAUGUGAGCUAGGCUUGGCAGGGGACAACCAGAAUUUCCAGUCUACAAUGCUAAAUUCAUCAUCUAGUUUUAUAUACAUACACAGAUGUACACAUGUGUGUAUAUGCACAUGCACAUACCAAAAAAGAAAUAAGGAAAGGAGGGAAGGAUGGCUUUCUUCCUUUUGCUUUGCGUUUCUGAGGAAAUAGCAGUUGGAGUAAUCAUUUAUUAAUCACAAAUUUUGGUGCUAUGUCUUUAGAACAGAAAAACAUCACUUGAUUUUCCAUGCAUAUUCUGCUAAUUGGUAGGUUUUGCCUCUCAACUAAACUGUAAAGGGAAAGGGUGCAUACUAAACCGAUUGCCCUACUUAGGCAGCUCCUGGCAGGAAUGCUGAGAUGGAUUAACAUGCAUAACAGAAGGCUUAUGUGACCCUGGGAGACAGUAGAACCUGAAAUAACCUUAAUAUCCUGUCAACUUUCAUUACCAGACCCCACUGAACAAGUAAAGCCUAUUUAACAAUCUGUCUGGGAAGGAAAAAUCCAUAUCUUGUUUUUUAACCAGGAUUUUUCAUCCUGUUCCUUUUUAUCCUGGGGAUAUUUUCUUCCACCUCACUUCUCAGAGCAACAUCACUGAACUAGACCAAGUUAUAUGGUGUCCUGAUUUCAUUAAAUUUCUCGGCGUGGAGUGCCACAGCCCUUGCUGCCACAGCCCUCACUUUACAAACAUGCCCUCAAAAGUCAGAAAUGCAGGAUCUGUAUUGAACAACUGGUAGUCCGGGGCCUAGCAGUGUGUUUGGGCAGAAAUAACUCCAUCUUGACAGUUGGCCAGGUUCAGUGCUAGGAAGCUGUUUGAGCUCAAGAAAGAGAGGAAGAAUGAGUCAACCUAAAGAGUCAAAAAGCAAGAAUAUCUUGAAUAAGCACCUGGGCUUUCUCAGAAACACACAAAUCCAGAUAUCUUGUCAAGUUGUCAACUGUAUUUGCUAAAGGCAUCUUGAGGUACCUCGGCAUGCCAAGUGUCGUAUGUUCCUCAAGGGAGGUGUUUAUGAGGAAAUUCUAAAAAUACCAGAGCACUAAAAUAAAUCCAAAAUAACUGCAUUCCUGUAGCUUUUUAACAGCACUUUCAAGAAAUAAACAAUUCUCUCAGGCUCAGUAAAUGCUUUCCCAAAUUUCCAAUUCAGAUGUCAUAUCCUGAGGUUCCAAAUUUCCUCCAUUCACAAGGCAUAGCUUAGCUAUGGAUUCAAUUCUGUCUCAUUAGAGGAACUGAUACCAUGCUUUUUAAAAAAAUCACUAGGCAGUAUACAGAGACCUGGAUUCUACAAAUUAGCAGAUGUGUGGCCUUGAGCAAGUCAUUUUCUCAUCUGAACCAUGAAAAGGAAGGGGAAGUAUUCAAACUUGAGUUAUUGAGCAUGCUGGGCACUUUGCUACCACUGUCUUAUGUAAAGUUUACACUAAAAAGUUUCCAAUACUUCUUCUAAUUAAUUGUCUAUUCUUAGUAAAUACUAAGUGCUUAAAAUGAUUUAGCAAAUGUCUGUUAGAGACUCUGUGGGCCAGGGAUAGUACUGCAAGAGUCAUUAAUAUCAAUUUGAGAAAUACUAAAGGAUUUUUACAGACUUUUUUUUCUUCCCCAUGGCAAACCAGGUCUCUAGGCUUUUUUUUUUUCCAAAAAACUCAGAAAAAAAUUUUUUUCUUUUUACGGUUACACCUACAGCAUAUGGAAGUUCCUGGGCCAGGAGUCAAAUCGAAGCUGCAGCUGCCUGCUUACAACACAACCCCAGCAACACCAGUUCCUUAACCCCCUCAGGUUAAGGGCCAGGGAUUGAACCUGAAUCCUCGCAUAGACAAUGUCUGGUCCUUAACCUGCUGAGCCACAGGAACUCCCAGAAAAAUGGUUUCUUAUGUAAUGUGUCAUUUUACUCCUUAAGGAAUUCAUCAAUUUCUCCCAGUGAGAUGUACUGUGACUUCACUUAUUUGAGCUCUAAUACCUUUUUUUGUAAAUUGUAAUCCAUAAAUUAGAUGUUGAAUUGAAAAGAAUAAUGAAUUGAAUUAGGGAACUGAGUUUGAGUUCUGGCUGUGGCACUAACUUGCUGGACAAUUUACUGUCUGUUUGGGUCUCAUUUUCCUGAUAUGAAGAAUUUGGGAUUGAUGAUUUAGCUUAUUCCUACGGCUUUAAAAGAGGUGGGGGUGGGUAUUUUGGAUAUGUUGGUUUAAAUGCCAUAUAUUAUUAAAAUUAAUCUCACCUCUUCUUACUUUUUAUUUUCAUGUGGUUAGUAGGAAAUUUAAAAUAACUCCUAAAAAAAAAUAAAAUAAAAUAAAAUAAAAUCACUCCUGUGGUUCACAUCUGUGGCUUGCAUUCAGUUUCUACUGGACAGUUCUGGCCUAAACCCUCUCAGUAACCCUCUUACUAAAAAGCCAUAAGCUUGUGAAGAGUUAAGUAGGUCAUCUUGUUCUGGUCUGAAUUUUAAAAGAGAAAAAAAGAAAAAGAGGAAAAUGAGGAAACAAGCUUUGUCCAUGAAGGGGACUGCCCUGCCACCUGACCAGGAAUCCACGGAGGAGUUCCACUUCUCCUCAAAGCCAGGGCCUUUGUUAUGCAGAUUUGAGUGAGAGCUAGCUCAAGAGAAGACCCCCUGACUUUACAUUAGAAGAAGCAGAUAGCUAGGGACAGAAGAAAAACAUGAGCCACUGGAAGGGAAAGGGCCUGGGAGGAAGGGUUUUAGGGGAGCUUCGAGGGGGAAGAAGAGGCUCUUUCCCUUCACUUUUCCAUCCUUUAUCUUUCAUUUCCUACUUCAUGCCCUCCUUUCUAUCUUGCAAUUCUAUUCUUGUUAGGCACAUUCACACAGAUAUCUCCUGAAAUUUUAGUGAGUCUAUGGAGGCUGAUAUGAUUACCCUCAUCUUACAACUGAGAAAACUGAAACUCAAAUAAGUUCUAUAACUGGCACAAGUGUUGAACAGCUAGCAUUACAGUGCAGCCAAGAUCUUAAUCCAUAUCCCUUGAUUUCAUUGGCUAUGUUUUUUCCACAAAGCCACAUCGCGUGGGUGUACUCAACUGUUCUUUCCUAAUUAACUUCUGGUACUUUUUUUUCUUUUUAUGGCCGCACCUGUGACACAUGGAAGUUACUGGGCUAGGGGUCGAAUUGAAGCUACAGCUGAGGCAAGGCCACAGCCCAGCAACAACAGAACUGAGCCACAUCUGUGACCUACACCACAGCUUGUGGCAACAUCAGAUCCUUAACCAACUGAGUGAGGCCAAGGAUCCAACCCACAUCAUCACGAACACUAUGUCAGGUUCUUAACCCAUUGAGCCACAAUGGGAACUCCCCGGUAUAUCUUAAAUUGAGCUAAUUCUUGAGUUGUUCUAUGAAGACAGUUUAGAGGUUAUCCUACUUCACUUUUUUAAACUGCUUCAUAAAAUAUGACAGGGCUAAUUCUCAAAACUGCUUUUUGCACUGCUAACUAAACACUGUCCAAAUAUUAAUCAGAUUUGAAUACUUAGGCUAAUAAUAUAAGUAGGCCUACAGAUCAUUUAAAUAGCUCAGCCAAACCUGAAAAAAAAAAAAAAAAAA